Molecule: unclassified non-coding RNA, 1407 nt
Filed under: Acanthaster planci (crown-of-thorns starfish)
Lineage: Eukaryota; Metazoa; Echinodermata; Asteroidea; Valvatida; Acanthasteridae
Description: ornithine decarboxylase-like, transcript variant X1
Source: RNAcentral
CGUCAGGUCACUGCAGAAUAAAACCACACUGCAGAGAAAUCUCUAAUACCACAUCUAUCCCUAUUGCCAGAGUACCAUGGAUGACCCGUCACCCCAUUCAGGAGUUAAAAUAAGCAUGUACGAGAAGGAGUCGAUUUCCAUGAUAGCGAAGUGGAGCAUCGAGGCGAAUUCCUCAGCAGAGCGGGAUUAUGAUGACCCCUUCUAUAUAUGUGAUCUCGGCGACGUCAUUGCUAAAGACAGAAAAUGGCAGGAAUUACUACCGACAGUGGAAACUUUUUAUGCUGUCAAGUGUAAUCCCGACUUAGCUAUUCUGAGACUACUGGUGGGACUAGGAAGGGGAUUUGACUGCUCGAGUAAGAGAGAGAUUCAGAUGGUGCUGGAUGCAGGAGCAAGCCCCGACCGCAUCAUCUACGCCAACACGUGCAAACAGGAGUCGCACCUCCGCUACGCCAAGGAGAAGGGAGUCAGCCUCAUGACUUUUGACUCGGCUGAUGAACUGCAGAAGAUCGACCGCGUCUACCCAGAGGCAACGCUAGUGCUACGGAUGAGGUAUGACGACCCUAACGCUGUCUAUAAGCUGGGAUCGAAGUUUGGCUGCUCACAGGACAGCAUUCCACGACUGAUGGAGCUGGCGAAGACGUUGGGACUGAAUGUGGUUGGUAUAAGUUUCCAUAUUGGCGCCGGUGCUCGGGACCCGAACAUGUUUGCUGGGGCCAUCUCUUGUGCCAAGACACUGUUUGGCGUCGGGAAAGCCGUUGGUUAUGACAUGACGCUACUGGACAUCGGGGGCGGUUUUCCGGGCAAAACGAGCUUUAGAAUUGGAUUUCAGCAGUUUGCAGAAGCUAUCAGCGAGUCACUCGAGGAGCAUUUCCCAGCAGACUGCGGCGUGAGGGUGAUCGCUGAGCCCGGGACCUUCUACGUCCAAUCAGCGGUGCAUCUUGUGGCUAACGUCAUAGCCACACGUAAAGUUGGGGCCAGCAGUGAUAUACUUCAGGAAAAUAGCAAACUAAAGAAACACUACUUUGUGAAUACUGGACUAUAUAACUCUUUCAAUGCGCUGUACACUGUUCCGGACUAUUUUGCACCACCGUGUCCCUUAAGGGAACUGGAAGAAGACGAGCCGUUUUACCCGUCAUGCAUCUGGGGCCCGACCUGUGACGCCACCGACUGUAUUUUCCCUGACUGCAGACUCCCGGAGUUACGAGCUGGUGACUUUGUCAUUUUCCGCGGUGGAUAUGGGAGCGUACGCGUCGUCUGCAAGCUGUGAUUUCAACGGGUUCGGUACCCCGACGUCCCGCUACACCGCAACGAGAAAAUACUUACCACUUCUUCGCGAGGUUUUUCAAGGGUGCGCCACAGAAAAUGUUGACAUUGACCCGCAAACCAAGACCAGCGAGUGAUUCCACA